AAGUCGUAACAAGGUUUCCGUAGGUGAACCUGCGGAAGGAUCAUUAACACGUGAAAACGUAUAAUGUACCUUACAUUACACCCCCUGUGAAUUUGUUUUCAUCCCUGUUCUUUGGAUAUUGUUCUAUUCAAUAUGUAGUAGGAUAUGAGAAAUCAUAUGCAAUUGAAUGGAUACUGAGGCUUCGAGCCUAAGAUAUCUUUUGAAUGGGCUAUUUUUAACUUUUUCCCCUACUACAAAAAGGCCUUAUUCUAACCAAUUUCACCUUUUAAACCAUUCUGACUAAUCUUAAUUGAUUUGUAAAGAAAUUUACAUCGAUCAAUCAAUUUAUCUUAAACUAAGCACAACUCUUAGCAAUGGAUAUCUUGGUUCUC
This 371-nucleotide unclassified non-coding RNA is filed under the name fungal sp. Its description in RNAcentral is "partial internal transcribed spacer region". The stretch from base 1 to 46 matches the Rfam family "Eukaryotic small subunit ribosomal RNA", at positions 1786 to 1831 of the family's 1831-position model. The record is from RNAcentral. Lineage: Eukaryota; Fungi.